CAAUUGCACUGUAAUGCUAAUAUUGUGUUAUGAUCAAGCUAGCAGGGGACGACAACACAGGUAGCCACUUCAUAAAGCUAAUACUUGUCACUAUUACGAUCGCGAUAUACAUCACUCAGAGAAUACAUAUACUAUCAACGAAGUUUGGUGUCGCUAGUGUUUUUGUUGAACUCGGAUCCCACCCUGUUAUGUUUCUCUUGCUGUUUCUUUUGUCAACAUAUGCUGCAUCCGCGCGGUGCAUGCUGGGACAUCCGAGGGCGAAGACAUUCCGCCAGACUGCUCAUGACGUCAACAACCACACGCUCGCUUGGAUGUGGAGAUUGUUUUUGUUUUUCUAUCGACAGUUUUUUAAUCACAUUGUUUUUUUCAGAGAGAUGUUUGCAGUAAUACAAGUUAUAAAGAUCGAGUGCAUUUUCCGACUAUGAUAAAUAAGUAAUCAAUACAACUGUGAUGUAUUUGAUUUUAAUAUGGAAAUCAACAACAAAUGUGGGAUGUAUAAAUUUACUCAGGACAGGUCCUCGGGCCUAUCACGUGCAACCAAGCACUUGCGAAAAUGCCCCUAGAAUGUCGCUGAAGACCAUUUGUACCUACAAAGCUUAACAAGGCUCGCUAUGUGUUUCAGUUACGAUUGGCCAUACCGCGAUCGUGCAUACUUCCAAAACAUAUUCGUCAUUAACCAUCCACAUGUUUAUGCCCCGAUGUUCUUACACACCCCAUGAUCGCCCACCCCCACCGGUAGCGUAAUGCAAUGGGGUGGGGGGGGG
Molecule: long non-coding RNA, 764 nt
Organism: Gadus macrocephalus (Pacific cod)
Lineage: Eukaryota; Metazoa; Chordata; Actinopteri; Gadiformes; Gadidae
Exons: 2
Source: RefSeq, a predicted model, not a curated record